UACAGAGGGUGCGAGCGUUAAUCGGAAUUACUGGGCGUAAAGGGUGCGUAGGCGGUUGAGUGAGUGGUAUGUGAAAGCCCUGGGCUUAACCUAGGAAGUGCAUGCCAAACGACUCGACUGGAAUACAGGAGAGGGUGGUGGAAUUUCCGGUGUAGCGGUGAAAUGCGUAGAGAUCGGAAGGAACGUCAAUGGCGAAGGCAGCCACCUGGACUGAUAUUGACGCUGAGGCACGAAAGCGUGGGGAGCGAACAGG
Molecule: ribosomal RNA, 253 nt
Filed under: uncultured bacterium
Lineage: Bacteria
Description: partial 16S ribosomal RNA
Rfam family: Bacterial small subunit ribosomal RNA
Source: RNAcentral